Molecule: long non-coding RNA, 9194 nt
Filed under: Panax ginseng (ginseng)
Lineage: Eukaryota; Viridiplantae; Streptophyta; Magnoliopsida; Apiales; Araliaceae
Description: long non-coding RNA (PGIN_LNC016697)
Source: RNAcentral
UGAUGAUGUAAGUACUUGACCUACUACGCAGAAAAACAGAUUCUGAUUAUGUUAGCUGAUGUAACCUCUCAACAAUCUUAAAUAUUCCAAGAUGUUAGAAGAAAUCUCUUUCAAUACAUUUGUGGAAAUCUUUCUUCUGCUGUACCAAUCCUCCAAAUAUGUUCCAAAAAAAAUUCCAGAUCUCCAAAACUCCUUUCAGCUGUAAUUUCAGAAACAAGAAUUAUUCUUACCUCCAGAUUAUUCCAAUUUCCAGAAUUUUCCAAUAAUUCAAAUUUCAAAAUAUUCUUCAAGAAGGAUUAGACGUUAGAGACCAACAUGUUUAUUCAGAACGUCAAAUAUGCAUUAUUAUUCAGUAACUCCAAAGCUUAGCUAUCGAUAGAAAAAUCGAUCUUUCUGAGGAUAAGUAACAAUCACAAGUUAUAAAUCAGUAUCACAUAAUUGCAGGGUUCCAUUUGAAAAGGAAAGCAAAAUAAAUGAAGUACACACCUGCAAGUAGCUUCUUACAUGACCAAUGCAGGACAUCUUUAUGAAAUGCCUUCCUGCACACCUAGAGAGAGAAAGAAAAGAGGGGAGGGAGAGAGAGAGAGAGAGAAAUCACGUCAAUAGAUGUAGAUGUUGUCACCAAAUUCCAAAAUUAGUUAAAAGGUAAGUUCUGUACAUUAGAUAGUGGCCUCGGAACAUCAUUUUUCCAGCCCCCUCUAAAUGCCAGAAUGGAAUCUAAACUUGGUACAAAUCAAAUUGAGUUGUCAGGCAAUGUACUCUGCUCAUUCUGGCAAGGACAAGCAUUAUCAUAUUCUUCUAGUCUGUGCAAGCAGCAAAAGAGCAGAUUACAAAGUCAUAAUCUUGGUUUUUUUAAGAGGUGAAAUAAGCCUAUGCAAAACAUAUACAAGGUCAAUUACCGAAAAUUCUACAAGAUUGAACUUUGAACUUGCAAAAACAAGUCAAUUCUCCAGUCUCCACACCUUAAGGAUCCCUAAAACUGAAGCACAAAAAAGCAAUGGCUUCAACACUAGUUGCACAACAUUUUGACAGCAAUGUAUCCAACACAAGCACAUUCGAAGUCCAAACUCAUACAUGAUUUUAACAGCCUGGAAGAAGUUUGAGAGGACAACAAUGCUAAGAAUUGAAGUACUUCUGAUGUAGGACGGAUUUAAGAUAAAUAAUUAAUAGAAAAUAAAUUAGCAUUUAAACUCCACAUUUAAAUCUCUAGGACGAAUCAACACUAAAAAUGAAUAAAAUAUCUCUACGUAUGAAUGAUAAAUAGUCUGUAGUUAAAAAAUUGUGUGGAUUACAUCACUAUUUAGAGACUCAAAACCCUAAUGGAAUAAUAAAAGUACUAAACGAUUAAAAUACCCUUAUUAAUAAUUCCUAAUUAAUGUUUUUAAUCCCCACAAAUAAAUAAUUACAUCAAUUACUCUUACAUUAAACAUAAUAAAAACUCUAAAUAAUAAGAAUUCUUUGUUAAAGUCUUGACUUGUGAUCCUCAUCAUUCUCAAUUUAAGGUAAAGAAUUAAUGGAAAAUAAAUUAGAAUUUAAACUCCAUAUUUAAAUCACUAUGGGCUCUCAAGUGUAUCAACUCCACGAAUCAAUGCUAAUAUGGAUAAAAUACCUCUACAAUAUGUAUAAUAAUAAUCAACUUCAAUAUCAAUAGUCUAUAAUCUAAAGGACUUGUGGGGAUUACACUAUUUAAAAAGACACGAAACCUUAAUAUUACUUGGGGAAUAAUAAAAGUACUAAACAACUAAAAUACCCUUAUUAAUAAUCCUAAUCAAUAAUUAAUGUCCUAAAUCCCCACUAAUAAAUAAAUUACAUCAAUUAGUCUUACAUUAAACAUAAUAAAAACUCCAAAAUACAAGAAUUCUUUGAAAGUCUUGACUUGUGAUCCUUAUCUCCAAAACUCAACCUCGAGUUUUAUAACAUGAGAGAAUAAUCCAUGAACUUCUUUGCACCGAAAGAGCAUUUUGGAACACCUUUGACACCAUCUUCACAUGAUAAGGCUCAAACAAUUUCGGGAAGAGAAUUGAUGAAAGUGUCACUUUUGUAUUCAUAGGUGUUGAAAAGUAAUUUUUUGAAAUAACGAGCCCAACAUUAUCAACUUGGACUAGAUCAACUUCGCAAACUGUCUUCUCUUCGUUGACAAACAACUUAAAAGUAAUUUCAAUGUCGUCCUCAAUUUGUGGGUCACAUAUAAUCUCUAGUUCAACUUUUGAAACUUUAAGAAUUCCAUGAACAUGAACAUGUUAUAACUGUCUGUAGCCCAUAAUUGUGAACAUCCUCUUUUUCGAUCUCUUGCUCUUUCUCUGCUCGAAUAUGUGCCAGAAAGUCAAUAAGGCCAUCUUUUAUAGAAUGUCAUAUUUUAUAAAAAUGAUUUCAUCUUUUAUAGAAGAACAUAUAGAAACAGUUUCACGUGUAGCCUUUUGAAGUUCUUUUGUUUUAGUUUGUUUGACGUUUCUUUGCUUCAACAUUUAUUAGUUAAAGUCUUGACUUGUGAUUCCCAUCAACUUCCCAGUAAAUAAAAAAAAAUUAAAUAGUUAAUAAACCAGCAAAAAGACAUAAGAUUGACCUGUUUUUAAAGAAAUAAUGACGUUGGAAAAAAAUUGGCACCACAAACUAUGAAAAUGAGGAAGGAAUUUGAAGUUAUGUUGAUUAUAUUUAUAUCAGAUCGCCAAACAACAAUAAUCCCAGGAAUCCUCUGUUAACCAUAAUCUCUUCCUAUAAAUUAACUAUUCUUUUUUUUNNNNNNNNNNNNNNNNNNNNNNNNNNNNNNNNNNNNNNNNNNNNNNNNNNNNNNNNNNNNNNNNNNNNNNNNNNNNNNNNNNNNNNNNNNNNNNNNNNNNUGCUGGUGGUCGGAGUGGGAAGUAGGAAAUAACAUAGACGAGAUACUUUUAGAUAGAAAAGAUAUUUGAAAAGGGAGAGAUUACAAGCAGCAGGGGGACAAGGAGUCCACCAUCAUUGUUUAAUAAGUGGAAAUAAAGAGAGAGUGCUCCAAAAAUAGCAUCUCUCCAAUCUCUACAAAUAUCUUAAACACAAAAACCUAAAGACCAGCAGUUAAACAAAAGAAAUAUAGUUGUUCAUAAAAUACCUAGGCUUACCGCUCAUUCCAAAUUUCCCAAACAAUAGAAAAGUUGAACACUUUCAAAACAUAUCGUGUCCUUUCUUGCAAAGCCUCUAAAGUGAGUAAGUAGCAAAUCCUCCACCAAAGCGGGGCAAACCUACCCCUUCCCAAACGCACCAAAUAUAGAGUUCAAAAACCCCAAGCAACAUGAAAAUGCAAAAAGCAAAUUUAGAAACAUACUAUAUAAUAGAACUAUUACAAUGCUUAAAUAGAAAACCUAAUCAGUGUUCUAAAAGUCGCUAGUCGGUCCCAUGUCGGUUGGCUACCGACUAGCGACUAGGGGAUUAAUCGGCUAGUCGGAUUUUCAAACACCACAGUCAGAUUUUAAUAAUUUAAUUUAUAACUGAAGUUGAAAAAAUUUAAAAAUUAAAAUGAAAUAUUACAAUUAACUAAAAAAAUUAACUAAUUUAAUUUAUCCAACCUUUUCUUUAAUGCCCACUAAGGAACUAAUUAACUAAAACAAAAAAAAUUAAAAAAUUAAUAAUUUUGCCCACUUUGGCCAGUUUGCCGACAAACUGCUUAUGCCUUAUAAGCCUUAUAUCAGUAUUCAGUAGAUUGUAAACUAUUUACAAAAAAAAUAAUAGAGAAACUGAGAGAGAGAGACGAGCCGGAAAAGAACUACCUGAUCGCCGAAGAUGAUGAAGAUGAAGAGCAGCAGUCGAAGAUGAAGAGCAGGUGAGCAGCAGUCGAGUCGAAGAAGGAGAAGCAGCAGCAGUUGUCGUUCCAGUCGUCGGCAGCAACAGUCGUCGUCGACAACAGUUGUCGUCGGAGAAGCAGCCGCAGUAGCAGUCGGCGUCGUCGGUCGAAGAAGGAGAAGAAGCAGCAGCAGUUGCCGAUCCAGUCGUCGUCGUCGGAGAAGCAGCCGCAGUAGCAGUCGUCGGUCGAAGAAGAAGUCGUCGUCGGUCGAAGAAGAAGCAGCAACAGUCCGAUUUGUUUCGAUUUGCCCCGACUUUACCGACUAGUCGACGACUUGAUCCCGACUAAGUCGGCCAACGACUAAAUCAAAGGACUAGGGCCUGGUCGACUCGGCGAGCCUCCAACCCCGACCUAGUCGCCAACUAGGCCGACUUUUAGAACACUGAACCUAAUACUUUGAGACUAAGUAAAAACCUUAAUUUAAAAAGGAAAAAAUCUCCUAAUUAAAAUCUACUACUAUAAUUAAAUCUUCUAGAAUGCCCUACUAAAAUAGUUACAUUAAUAGUUCAAUAUUUAUCUCUAAAUAACAAAACAAAAUUAAUAAUAAAUUUCUUAAUUUUCCUCUUCAGUACCACAUCAUUAUCCCCGCCUUUGAAAAAAACUCAUCCUUGAGUUUUGAAAUAUCACAAAAUAAUAAAGGGCGAAUGACAAAAUUGUCCCCCCAAGUUUGGAUGAAAAUCAAUUUCAUACUCAAAGUUUGGGAAUCUUCAAUCAAUAUCUCAAAUUAUUUAAAAACUCCAAUUGUGUUCCUUUUGGCUUGAGCACCCAAUUUUAUUGCCGUAGAUAGACGUGUCUACAAAUUAGCUAUAUCCUACGAAUUGAAUACAGAUGGAUACGUAUAUUGUAUUUUAUACGCAUAUAUAUAAUCUCAAUAAGAUUACGCAUUUACUUGCAGCUUCAAAAGGAGUGAGGAGCAACAUUGAGGGUUUUACGCAAUUUUCAAAAGCAAUCUAGGGUUCUACAAAGAUUGAAAACAAUCGAGUAUAGAUACACUUCUGAUUUCGAAAAUGGAGUCUCACAAAUGGAGUUUGAGACCUGUCGGGCAGGAUGUGCCACAAUAUUAGGGUAAUAUACUUAAAUAUAUGUUUGUCUGGUUUAUUGUUUGUUGAUGGAAUCUUGCAAUUAUUAAUUGAUGGUGAAAAAUGACGCNNNNNNNNNNNNNNNNNNNNNNNNNNNNNNNNNNNNNNNNNNNNNNNNNNNNNNNNNNNNNNNNNNNNNNNNNNNNNNNNNNNNNNNNNNNNNNNNNNNNUGGACCCUCUGCUUUUGUUCAAUUUUUAUAAAGCUUUGUUAUUUCUGCACAAUGUUUGUUUGUUGUCUAUCCGUGUGGUCCCUUUUUGUUGUGUUCUGAUCAUCUAUUUAAAAACAAUUGUACUCUUUUGUGCUUGCAUUUCAUGCAGAUGUUGAUCGUUUGAAGGCUUUAUUUACUGUGAAAAUGUGUUAUUGGGGGGAAUUUAAAGACAAGGGAUAUGUAGGUGGGGUACAUGAAUAUGUAGACUUUUGUAGAAUAGACCUUAUAACCACUUGGGGGAUAUGGCUACGGAAAUGGGUUUCUAUGGAGCAUUAAACUUUCAUCAUUGGUGUGUAGAGAGGGGAUUAAGGGAAAUCAUAACUAAUGAUAACAUUAAGAACAUAGGUCCUUAUUUGCCCAUUCACAGACAAGUAACAAUCAUCCUUGUUCAUAUGGAGCAUCUGUCAGUUGCUCCUCCUCUUCCUAAAUGGAGUCGGGUUGAGAUAAAUUUAGAUGGAGAUAUAUCAUAAACUGUCACCACAACUUAAUAUAACUUCAACUAAAAAAAAUAGUUAAAACCAUUACUUUUUACGCGCCUCUAAUCUUUAUCAUCAUGGUAACGAGGGAAUCACACCACGUCUUUAAUCUGCAAAUUAUUGCAAGUUUGAGCACGACAGCCUAACAACAGUUUUUAUGCAUCACGCUCAUACAUACUAUUCAUUUCAAUCAUGCAUCAUAUUCUUCAUGCUAUGCAUUUGAUACAUGCAUCAUAAUUCUUAUGCAAUGUGACUAUAUAUGCUUCAUACGUCUCAUGAUAUGCAUUUUUAUAUGCGAGUUUUCAAUUUCAUCAUAUUGAAUUCAAAUUAUACUUCAUGCAUUAUCAAGCUUAUCAUAUCACGUACAAGCUUAUCAAGUCGUCGCCUAGGCGACACGCUUAGUCGUCCGAGCGGUAUAAAAUUUCAAGGCGUCGGGGCGACUUGGGUGCAGAUUCAAGAGGCGAGCGACUAGGCUGCGACUUGGACGACUGGCGAGCGACUUGGACGCCUACAUAGCUAAGCGGUCGACUUGGUUCGACCCGAUUCUUACUGGGUUAAAAAAAAAACCUAAAGUUCGACUAAAUAGUCUGAACUCUGAAGUUAGGGAAAUCGAUCGAUUCGGAAGAUUGGAGAGGGAGAAACGAGACCAAACAGGGAGAUCUCAGUUGUUCGACUAGCUUCGGCGAGUGAAGUGAGGGAAGAAGUACCUACCAUCUCUGACUUGCUUCGGCGAGAGGCAACUCAGUUCAGCGACUUGCAGGUAUGCAGUAUGCUUCCUUCUUCUCUUCAUCUUCUUCUCGUCUUCUGAGUUCCGACUUCCUAUCUUCUUCUCGUCUUCUUCUGGAUGAUGAGGAUGUUGAUGUUGAUGAUAUUAUGGCCGAAGAGUAACUACUGUUUCGAGUGAUGAUGCCAUUGCUGGGAGAGAUGAUGAUGAUUUGAUCUUUGAUGAUUUUGUUUGAUAGCUUGAGUGAUAUUUUCAUUAUGAAAAAUGAGAAUUUUGAGUUAAAGAAUACUGAAUUUUUAUGACUUUAUUUUCAUUUCUAUAUUAUGUUUGUUUUUGGCAAUGUCACAAUGAACAUAUUAAAUAUAUAAAAUUUUAUAUGUAUAAAAUUUACAUUGUUAACGACUAGUCAAGCGCUUUGUCGCCUAAGCGCUUAAGCUCCCGGCUGUCGCCUCGCCUCGACUUAGCGCCUUGAUAACUAUCAACAACAAUUGCACAACAGCCUAGUCACGGUCAACGCUAAACCGGAAUGUCCUCAACAUAGCGACAUACCAUAUAUCAACGUCAAUUCAGAUGUUGAACCGGUCAGUUUUCAUGCCUUGGAGGUGAGCAACACUCAGUACCAUGCUAUUGGGACGCCACCCCUCACACCCAAGAUUUCUGCCGAAGUAAUGUCGGCUACUCAAGAAAUAAUAUCCUUGGGUCAUCAGCCAGGACAAGGGUUGGGUAAAGAUCAUCAGGGUAUUAGGUACCCCAUCCAAGUUAUCAGUCAAACUGGGACAGCUGGGCUAGGUUAUCCGGCUAGCUUUAGUCUUAAUUUGACUUCAACAAUUGCACAAUAGCAUUGCAAUCCAAAAUACAUAUUUCAACAUUCUCAUCAAAAUUCUAUCAUAAUACGAUAACAAGUGCACGUAAGCAAUAUCAAGUUCACUUAACACAAACAAAACUGAAAAAACUUGCCUUUAUUGCAAAUUGCUACCGGGUCAACUUGAUAUUGCGUUCUUGAAGCUAUGUUAUCUCGUAUCGCACCUAUAUAGCAUGCAUAAGGUUGUUAUAUAGGUUAAUGAAUAUAUAUUCCACUAACUUUAAUUUAAACUCAAGUCAACUAUAUCCGUUAUGGCUAAUUUGUUCCAUUAACAUUCCUCGUAUUAUUUAUGUAAUGCAAUUAGAAUCAUUACAUAGCUUAAUGUAUCAAUAAUUCAUGAACUUCGUUUUAAACUUGUUUUUCCCAAGCUUAAUAUUUCAAUACAUUGGAUUUAUUAAUAAUAUUAUAGACUAAAUAUACAUAUGAUAUAAUUUUUUAUUAUUUUUUAUGAAUUUAUUUGCUCAGCGUCAAAAUCGGAUCGAAAACGGACGGCGAAACGCUGCCUGGCAGCUAGCGCCAAGCGCCUGCACCAGCGUUGCGCGCUGCUGGGAUAGGCAGCCUGGUGUUGCUGCCUUGCAUUGGCAGCUCAACCUUAUUUUCUUGCCCACUUCGCGAUUUCAUAACCUGAAAUCCAUACGCUCGAUCAAAUCCAAUUUUUAAUAUGUUCUAGAUGGUACUUCAUAGUAUUUUAUAAAAAUACUACCUGAUUAAAACAAGUUUUCUAUGGCAUAGAUUCAACGGGUCAAAAAGUCCAGAAAUCUGCAGAUUUCGCUUAGCCUCGUGCCUACUUUGCCAUUUUCCAUCUUUUAAUCUACAAGUCCGUUAACCUCCAAAUUUUUACAGCAUCAAGAUGGUACUACAUAGUAUUUUUUAAAAAUACUACUUGACCAAAACAAGCUUUUUAAAGCAAAUUUACAGUUGCUCAAAAGUGGCUGGUCAGCCCAGAUUCUGCAGAUUUCCAGCAACUUUGCUAUUUUCCUACUUACUUUGAAAUUUCAUAUCUUGCAAUCCACACAUCCGAUUGCUCUCAAAUUUAAAUAUGUUAUAAAUGGUACUUCACGGUAUUUUACAAAAUUAUAACAUAACCAAUUCGGAUUCUUUAAGUUAUAGAUACAGGGACUCAAAGGUACCCUGUUAGCUCAGUUUUUCACUUAAACUCAAAUGUUAGAAAUUCUUUAAAACUUGUUUUGAACCUGAUUUGACUCACUCAAUCAACAUAGUUUACAUCAUAAUACAUAUACAAAGGUAACCUAGCCCCAAGCUUUGCUUAAUUCUCCAUUUUUAGGCAUUAAACCUCUUUGAGGUGAAUUUUCAAACACCUUGAAGGCAUAGCUUAAAGUUUCAGAUUCCAUAGGGGUUCAGGCAUGUUCCAGCCCAAAAUUUUACAGCCUUAUUACUCCGCACAACAUAUUCAACCUCCCAUCUCAUCAAUUCCACAACCAACACAGAGCAACAUAUCGACAACUAUACAUACUAUUUACUCACUUUCUAUGAAAAUAACCAAAACAUAAGACUAACCUUUGUUUGGUGUAAUAACUGAAAAAUUCCUCCUUUGAGCUGCACUUUACCCCAAUUCGUCUUUAAUUUCAGUUAUUAGUCGCAAUUCCUUGAGAAAUUGGUGGAGUCUUCAGCCCCAAUUUUGAUUAAUGCUUAUAUUUAGGCAAUUGUAGGAGGAAAGUUUAAGAAAUUUAAGAGAGAGAGAGUCAAGGUAUGGAACGGAUGAAAAGGAAGAGCUGAAAAUGGAUUUUUAGCUUAUAAGCUUCCUGAUCUCUGUUAUUCAUCAGACUUUAGACUGCUUAGUGUAGGAUUGAUCACAUAAUUUCAUGCCAGCUCCUGCUUGUUUUAUAUGACUCAUAACAUGGCUACACCUCUUAUUUCUCAGCAUGCUUAUAUGUAUAUUACUUUGUACAUAAUAUCUAUUUAAUAAAAUACAAAUAAUUUUAAAUUUUUCGUUCAUUCAAUAAAUUAUUUGAGCCGUCAUAAAUUCGUCCGUCUAAAGAGUAUCGGAGGCACAGGAGACAUCUAGUAUGUAC